This 66-nucleotide transfer RNA is filed under the name Holdemania filiformis. It matches the Rfam family "tRNA". Rfam says of the family: Transfer RNA (tRNA) molecules are approximately 80 nucleotides in length. RNAcentral also lists the same sequence under 2 other names. The record is from RNAcentral. Lineage: Bacteria; Bacillati; Bacillota; Erysipelotrichia; Erysipelotrichales; Erysipelotrichaceae.
GAAUGUAGUUCAAUGGUAGAACUUCAGCCUUCCAAGCUGACUACGUGGGUUCGAUUCCCAUCAUUC